Non-coding RNA from Microcebus murinus (gray mouse lemur), 6587 nucleotides. NCBI's taxonomy places the organism in Eukaryota, Metazoa, Chordata, Mammalia, Primates, Cheirogaleidae. The record is from RefSeq and is a predicted model, not a curated record.
UCACUAAGUGUUUUCUUUUUCCAUCUAGGGAGCGGAGGGGGCCGCCACCAGCCUUACAUUCCGGCCUUUUGGUUUUGAUGGGCCCGCUCUUUCCGACUACUUCCUGCUAGGAGGGGCCUGGUCAGGGGCUCUAGGCGGGGCGGCUGUGGAGGGGCGGUUGGUAGUGGAAAGUAUGGAUGAAGAAGUAGUUGGUUUACGGCCACUCCUGUCAGCUCUUGUAGGCGGCGCUGGAGGAACUGCAAAAGACAGGGAACAAACAGAAAGAUUAGGCAGAUGAUGACACUGGGUCCUAUUAGCGGCAAUGGCCAGGUAGCCAAAGGGAAUUGUAUCCAGCCAAAGGGGGACGCAUCCCAGCGGCGGCGGUUGUGCAGGUCUUUACUCAGGUUGGUGAGCUUGUCUAUGUUCCGCUCCAUAAGGCCCGAUUCGCCAGCAUAGCAGCAGCAUUCUUUAUGAAGGAAAAGGCAGGUUUUUCUUUUUCCAGUCAUCAGCGGGUCUGCAAAAUCUUGGGCAGAAAUGACACCGUGGCCCAGGGCACCUCCCGCGAGCCCUGAGGCCACAAUGGAAGAGGCCAAGCUGAGACCUACCAUGACAGGUAGAAAGACGGCUAGUCUUGGCUGGGCUUCUGGGAGAAGCCAUCCAAACUCAGACUCACCGUAUAGAGUUUAUUGAGGGACCACCAUGACAGGGAAACAGGGACCCGGGGUGGAUGUAUUGACGCAGCGGGUAAGUGCUCCGUUGCACCAGAAGAACUGUCCCAGAGCAGAGGACGUGGCUGUGGUCACAGUAUGGUUGGUAAGGCGGCGUCCGUGAAGUUGUAGGCGGGGGCCAGUGCGGGAGGUGAGAAAGCGCACGCGGUCUGCGUAGGGCUGGCCUGUAGGCUCAGGUUCCCAAAGGGAACGCGAGAGAGCGGAGUGGAGCAUGAGGGAGCUGAUGAGGGAGUUUGGGGGUUAGAAUGGUUUAGAGGGACAGCAGCCAGCAGGGGCUGCUGAAGGGAGGCACAGAGGAAACAGUGGGAAAUAUUAGGGAUUAUUUCAGGGGAAUUUAGGAAGGUGAGGGUGUGCUGUAUGAUAUCUAACCAAGAGGUGAGAGUGGGGUUAUGGGGACGAGAAGGAGCAAGUUGUCCGGCCAGAGUCUGUUCUGCCUUCUGGGAAGCAGAGCCCUCGGGGAGGCGGGCGCCUCUGUAACCUGAGAGGCCGAGACAAGGGCAUGGGCUGCCUGGCGUUUGCCGUCAUCGCCCACGGUCGAGCCGCCAUCAGCAAACAGUGUUAAGUCUGCAUCUGAGCGGGGCUGGUCCGAGAGGUCGGCCUGGAGGUGGUGGCGGCAUCGACCGUCUCCGGGCAGGAGCGAGAGGAGAGGGUUAAGGACGGGAUGGGCAGCAAAGUAGCGGGGUUUAGAGUAGCAGACUGUGUUAGGGUGAUGUUGGGAUUUCCUAUGAAUAUGAGAUGGGAUUCCUGUAACCUAGAGGGAGUGAGGAGCGCCGACGAGCGGUGAGUCAGCAGAUCUUGGAGGCGAUGGGUGGAAAAGACAUGAAGGUGCUGUCCCAGGGACAGCUUCAGUGCUUCCCUGGUGAGAGAGGCUGCCACGCCCAGUGCCCUAAGGCCAGGCGGCCAGCCAGGACCGUGGUGUCUAGUUGUUUGGAUAAAUAAGCCACUGGAGCACAGGUGGGUGGGCUCCAGGAGCCUAAGGGCUGGGCGAGGACACCGAGGGCCAGGCCCUGGCGCUCGUCUGUGUAGAGGUGAAAGGGUUUUCAGGAUGAGGGAGUCUUAGAGGUGGUGCCUGGAGUAGAGUGUCACGAAGCUUUAGAAAUGCGAGGCCGACAGCUCGGGGGUUUAGUAAAGGGCCAGCGGGGCAUCACGGGCUGCCUCAUAGAGGGGUUUAGCAAGGAGGGAGAAGUUAGGGAUCCAGUGUCGGAAGAAACCAACAAAUCCAAGGAAAGACAAUGUGCUCAGCGGGCGUGGGUGGUUGGAGAUCGCGAAGAGCCCGUUGGCGGUCAACAGUGGGAUCCCGGGACGUGGGGAUAACAUCACUCUUGUGAAACCGAAAGCAGGUCUUUGAAAUACUUUCCAGACCCUGCAUUCCGGUGGACCAACUGACACAACAAGAUGAGUGGCCCAAGGAACCAAGUCAUCUGGUCUUGACACCUGGGAACUGACUCAGCACAAGAAGACAAUUUCUACUUCCUGAUCCUACAAGUUUAUCCCCAGCCAAUCAGCAGACCCAAUUCCCUAGCCCUUUGACCACCAAAGUACAUUUAAAAUCCCUUCUCCCAAAUUCUCAGAGAGAUGGAUUUGAUAUAUUCCUCUAUGUCCUCACAUGGUGCCUUUCUCCACUGUAAACCCUGCUGUCUCUGUGUACUGGCUUCCUUUUGAGCAGCAGGCAGUGUACCGGGUUGGGCUGUGACAUAUCAUUAUUGAUCCUUCAACAGGCCAGGCAUGCUCCCACCUAAGGACAUUUGAAUCUGCUUUUCAUUCUGCCUGUGUAAGAUACUGGGCUACAAGGACAAUAGACAUCUUCCAGCUUCUGUUUACUGCUUGCUUGCCAACCACAAGGCAUUAUGAGUAUGUUAUGGGAUGCAGAAGAAAAAGACAAAGAGAGCAAAAACCUGAGUCUCUCAGCUAAGACCCAGAACAAGUUAGGGCCUAUCAGAGGAAGGCUGAAGAUUUCCUCUUCGGGAAUGAGACAGACUCUGACGACGCCGUUGUCUAUCCUCCCCACUUGGGAUGGUUGCCAACAGUUGCUCAAGGUACUUUUUACAACUGAAGAGAAAGAAUCCAAGCAGAAGCACGGAAGCUGGUUCCAGGAGAGGACGGCACACCAUCAACCCCUGAGUCACCGACCAGACCUUCCCUCUCCAACGGCCGCCCUGGGACUACAAUGAGGCUGAAGGCAGGGGGCGUCUCCGGGUCUACGGCCAGACUCUGAUGGCCGGUCUCUGAGCAGCCACACGGAAGCCGACCAAUUUGGCUAAGGUAGGAGAUGUCCGUCAGGGGCCUGAGGAAAGUCCGGCAGCUUACCUAGAAAAAAAUUAUAGAAGCCUUUCGGCAGUACACUCCGAUAGAUCCCAGCGUAGAAGAGAGUAAAACGGCUGUCAUAAUGGCCUUUGUAAAUCAGGCAGCCCCAGACAUUAGGCGAAAGUGCAAAGGAUAGAUAGGCUGUGCGACAAAACUCCACAGGACUUGCUAAAAGUGGCAGAAAAAGUAUAUAAUAACAAAAAAUCACCCGAAGUUAGAGACACUAAGAUUAAAAGAUAGAAAAUUUCAGGCGGGCGAGGCGCGCAGGGUGAACAAAGAAAUGGCCAAAAUCCUACUCGCAGCUACGGGAGGAGGUCAGCUAGGGGCAAGAGGCCGGGAGUGACCCCGGAGGGAGAGGCUAGGCAAGGAUCAGCGCGCCAGUUGCAAGGAGCAUGGACACUGGGCUAGGAACCGCCCCAAGAAGAAGGGGGGAUGUAGAGCUAAAUCCUCCGAGAAGGUUAUGGUGGUGGGGCAAAUAGAAGAUGAAUGGAGGGGGACGGGGCUCGGUUCCCCUCCCCAAGCCCAGGGUAACUUUACUAGUGGAAGAGAGCCCAGUCAAUUUCCUGGUAGACACGGAGGCAGAACAUUUGGUGAUUACUGAGACCACGGGAAAACUGUCAAACAAGACUAGCUGGGUCUAGCAGAGGAGCGUGCAGGGUGGGCAAAGCAUCGGCCACCUCUAUACAUUGAGUUAAAACCAGGGGCUGAGCCAGCCCGAGUUAGACAGUACCCCAUGCCCCAGGAGGCUAGAGUGGGAAUAACGCCCCACAUUCGAAGGCUCCUAGACGCCGGGAUUCUCCUGAGGUGCCAGUCAGCCUGGAAUACUCCUUUGUUGCCAGUGAAGAAACCGGGUGGAAAGGAUUAUCAGCCUGUGCAGGACCUCAGGGAGGUCAACACGCAUGUCCUAGACAUCCACCCUACGGUUCCUAACCCCUACACCCUACUAAGCUCCCUUCCUCCAACGCAGAUUUGGUACACUGUCCUAGAUUUAAAAGAUGCCUUUUUCAGCCUAGCCGUGGCCCCGCACAGCCAAGAAAUACUUGCCUUUGAGUGGCAGGACGAAGAGAGAGGGAUCCAGGGGCAGCUGACUUGGACAAGACUGCCCCAGGGGUUUAAGAACUUGCCCACCUUGUUCAACAAAGCCCUUCACAAAGACCUGGAUGAGAAAAAGAAAAUAGCCAAGAGAGUGCUCACACUGGCACUAGGACCUUGGAGGCGCCCAGUGGCGUACCUGUCAAAAAAAAAAAAAAAAAAAGAAACUAGACCUGGUAGCAGAGGGAUGGCCGGCUUGUCUGCAAAUCAUCAAAUCAUGGCAGCUACUGCCUUACUGGUCAAAGACACCAAUAAGCUCACCCUGGGUCAGCAUUUGCAGAGUACCACGCCUCACGCCAUAGAGGGGAUCCUGAAGCAGCCGCCAGGGCGAAGGAUUACAAAUGCGAGGCUGACUCUCUACCAGGGGCUUCUGUUGGACACUCCUCGCAUUGAGUUCCGGACUCCUGCCAUCCUGAACCCGGCCACACUCCUGCCGGAUCCAGAGCCGGAAACACCUGAACACAGUUGCCUCGAGAUCCUGGCCGAGACCCAGAUGGCCAGGAAAGAUCUAAAAGACCACCCUCUUCCAAACAGCGACCUGACCUGGUUCACCGAUGAGAGCAGCUUUGUUCCGGACGGACACAGGUAUGCAGGGGCGGCUAUAGUGAAUGAGCGGGGCAAUCUUAUCUGGGCAUCACACCUCCCACAGGGGACAUCAGCCCAGAAGGCGGAACUGGUGGCAUUGACGGAAGCCCUCCGCAGGGCCCAAGGAAAGAGGCUGACGGUAUACACCGACAGUCGCUAUGCCUUUGGGACAGUACACAUACAUGGGGCUCUCUAUGAAGAGAGAGGUUUCAUCACGGCAGAGGGCAGAGAAAUCAAACAUAAGCCUGAAAUACUUCAGUUGCUAAAAGCCAUUUUGUUGCCAAAAGCAGUGGCAGUAGUCCACAUUCCGGGACACCAGAAGGGGGAUUCUUUUGAAGCCUGGGGCAACCCGGCUGCAGACACUGAGGCAAAAAGGGCUGCAGAGGAACCAGCACUAACAGAAGUUCUAUGUUUGAGCUUGCCACCUCCUGGGAUGGGAAAAAUGCCCCCCCCAACCAUAUUAUUCCAGCACGAAUAUAACCUGGGCCAAAGAAAAACUGCAGGCAACACAGAGUAAGGACGGUUGGCUCCAAGAUGGAGAGCAUCGCCUAGUAGUCCCUGAAGCCUUAAAAAACCUACUACUAGGACACUUGCACCAGACGAAGCAUCUGGGAAAAAGGAAGAUGCUACAGUUGCUGGACACUGCACAAAUCAGAUUCAAAUCACAAGGAAAGAUAGCAGAAGACAUUGUCCGGAACUGCCGUGUCUGCCAGGUUAUGCAGCCGGGGAGGAUCAGAGGGACCCAUGCAGGUACCAGGGAGCGGGGAAGGCAACCAAGAUUAUUUUGGGAAAUAGACUUUACAGAGGUACGGGCUGCCGGAGAGCAUAGGAUCUGACAAUGGGCCAGCCUUCACAAGUCAGGUUGACGGGGUAGCAACCUGGAUCCACCACUCCCACGUGAGACCGGCUGGUGAGGAUGAGCAGAAGCGACAGCAGGACGAGUGGAGGCGACAGCAGACCUCACAAAUCCACUAAAGACCAGGCUGACCCGUGUGGCAUCGGCAAAGUAAACGAGAAUAUUGACUCAAACUCUGAUAGAACUGCUGAUCGCCCUGCUAAGACUCGGACUGGGACUAGUUACCCCAAAGAUUGGGACUAAGCUGCAAAGAUGGGGUUGGGUAUUGUUCUAUGUUUCAUAUGCAAGUGCAUUAUGGAUAUCCUGCUCUUAGACCAGAGUUUUGCAGUUAUAAUUAAUAAUAAAAACCCACAUCUGCCAUAUAAACUUACAUAGAAAAUAACGAACUUAAAAACCCAUAAGGUAUACAAUAGCACCUCAAGGGCAGAGCCACUAAACACCUGGUAGCCAGAUUUAUAUUUCAACUUAGAAAAAGUCAGUGCCCUAGAAAAGCCAGCACAGACAGUAGCGAUAUCCUCAGGAGGCCCCGCUGCUGCCCCAAUCCCCUGUUCUUAAGUAACUAGACCAUAGAGGGAAGACUUAGAACGGACCUCUAUGAGCCGAAAUGGGUUUUAUGCCUGUCUGAGAUUCCGGCCCCCUCAGGAAAACCGUCAGUGUGGGGGUAUUAGAGGUUAUUAUUGUGCCAAAUGGUGGUGUGUGACCACAAAUGACGGGGAGUAGAAAUGGCAGGUACAACCUCUUUUCAUUAAAAUGUCCUAUGUCCAACCUUGUACUAGAGAUAGGUAUGCCAGAAACUGUAACCUGAUACAGAUAAAAUUUACAGAAGAGGGAAAGAAAAAUAAAAGGUAGAUGUCAGGGCUGUCCUGGGGAAUAUGCCUCUAUCAAAGGCCAUAUCUCUGCUCAAUAAUACAAAUCAAACUUAGUGGCUCCCAUCACAGGUGCUGUAGGGCCUACCCAGAGGUACAGGUAAAAAAAAAAAAAAAGCAGAACAGACCAACUCCGCAACCAACAGUCUUCUCUCCACAACUCGCCGGGGCAAAAAC